GGUUGAAGCGACUGCUUUCAAGAAUAAGUUCCGCCUUGGGUUGGGUGGA
This 49-nucleotide non-coding RNA is filed under the name Levilactobacillus brevis ATCC 367. Lineage: Bacteria; Bacillati; Bacillota; Bacilli; Lactobacillales; Lactobacillaceae. The record is from RNAcentral.